This 253-nucleotide ribosomal RNA is filed under the name uncultured bacterium. RNAcentral describes it as "partial 16S ribosomal RNA". It matches the Rfam family "Bacterial small subunit ribosomal RNA", at positions 524 to 776 of the family's 1533-position model. The record is from RNAcentral.
UACGUAGGGUGCGAGCGUUGUCCGGAAUUAUUGGGCGUAAAGGGCUCGUAGGCGGUUUGUCGCGUCGGGUGUGAAAUCCACUGGCUUAACUGGUGGCUUGCUUUCGAUACGGGCAGACUGGAGGUAUGCAGGGGAGAACGGAAUUCCUGGUGUAGCGGUGAAAUGCGCAGAUAUCAGGAAGAACACCCGUGGCGAAGGCGGCUCUCUAGUACGGUACUGACGCUGAGGUGCGAAAGCGUGGGGAGCAAACAGG